Molecule: ribosomal RNA, 568 nt
Filed under: Pteridomonas danica
Lineage: Eukaryota; Dictyochophyceae; Pedinellales
Description: partial Bacterial small subunit ribosomal RNA
Rfam family: Bacterial small subunit ribosomal RNA
Source: RNAcentral
AAUCUACCUUUUGCUGAGGGAUAGCCCAGAGAAAUUUGGAUUAAUACCUCAUGGUAUUAUUGAUAGGCAUCUAUUAAUAAUUAAAGGUUACGGCAAAAGAUGAGUAUGCGUCCCAUUAGCUAGUUGGCGAGGUAACGGCUCACCAAGGCAACGAUGGGUAGGGGUCCUGAGAGGGAGAUCCCCCACACUGGUACUGAGACACGGACCAGACUCCUACGGGAGGCAGCAGUAGGGAAUAUUGGACAAUGGGCGCAAGCCUGAUCCAGCCAUGCCGCGUGUGUGAAGAAGGCUCUAGGGUUGUAAAGCACUUUCAGUAGGGAGGAAGGCCAGAGGCUUAAUAAGUCUUUGGAUUGACGUUACCUACAGAAGCAGCACCGGCUAACUCCGUGCCAGCAGCCGCGGUAAUACGGAGGGUGCAAGCGUUAUCCGGAAUCAUUGGGUUUAAAGGGUCCGUAGGUGGAUUGGUCAGUCAGAGGUGAAAUCCUGCAGCUCAACUGUAGAACUGCCUUUGAUACUGCCGGUCUUGAAUUAUUGUGAAGUGGUUAGAAUAUGUAGUGUAGCGGUGAAA